RNAcentral lists this ribosomal RNA (312 nucleotides) under uncultured Alphaproteobacteria bacterium. Its description in RNAcentral is "bacterial SSU rRNA". It matches the Rfam family "Bacterial small subunit ribosomal RNA", at positions 20 to 358 of the family's 1533-position model. Lineage: Bacteria; Pseudomonadati; Pseudomonadota; Alphaproteobacteria. The record is from RNAcentral.
UGGCUCAGAACGAACGCUGGCCGCAGGCUUAACACAUGCAAGUCGAGCGCUCGUAGCAAUACGGGAGCGGCAGACGGGCGAGUAACACGUGGGAACGUACCCUUCGGUUCGGAAUAACCCAGGGAAACUUGGGCUAAUACCGGAUACGUCCGUAAGGAGAAAGAUUUAUUGCCGAGGGAUCGGCCCGCGUCCGAUUAGCUAGUUGGUGAGGUAAUGGCUCACCAAGGCGACGAUCGGUAGCUGGUCUGAGAGGAUGAUCAGCCUCACUGGGACUGAGACACGGCCCAGACUCCUACGGGAGGCAGCAGUGGG